UUCGCAAUGCCCGAAAGGGUGACGAAGCGACGCCGCGUGCGGGAGGAAGGCCUUCGGGUUGUAAACCGCUGUCGGGAGUUAAGAAAUGCAAGAAUGUUAAUAGCGUUCUUGCUUGACUAAGGCUCCGGAGGAAGCCACGGCUAACUCUGUGCCAGCAGCCGCGGUAAUACAGAGGCGGCAAGCGUUGUUCGGAAUUAUUGGGCGUAAAGAGCACGUAGGCGGCUGUGUAAGUCGGUUGUGAAAGCCUUCCGCUCAACGGAAGAACGGCAUCUGAUACUACAGGGCUUGAGUACGGGAGGGGAGAGUGGAACUUCUGGUGGAGCGGUGAAAUGCGUAGAUAUCAGAAGGAACGCCGGCGGCGAAAGCGACUCUCUGGUCCGAAACUGACGCUGAGUGUGCGAAAGCUAGGGGAGCAAACGGGAUUAGAUACCCCGGUAGUCCUAGCCGUAAACGAUGGGCACUAAGUAGAGGGGUUUU
This 477-nucleotide ribosomal RNA is filed under the name uncultured Candidatus Brocadia sp. Its description in RNAcentral is "bacterial SSU rRNA". It matches the Rfam family "Bacterial small subunit ribosomal RNA", at positions 365 to 832 of the family's 1533-position model. The record is from RNAcentral. Lineage: Bacteria; Pseudomonadati; Planctomycetota; Candidatus Brocadiia; Candidatus Brocadiales; Candidatus Brocadiaceae.